AGCGAACGCUGGCGGCGUGCUUAACACAUGCAAGUCGAACGUGAAAUGUAGCAAUACAGAGUAAAGUGGCGUACGGGUGAGUAACACGUGGGUAAUCUACCUUAGAGCCUGGAAUAACCUGCCGAAAGGCGGGCUAAUACUAGAUAGUUCAAGCUUGUUGUAGAGACAGGAUUGGGAAAGGGAGCUGGUAACAGCCUUCACUUUAAGAUGAGCCCGCGUCUGAUUAGCUAGUUGGUGAGGUAAUGGCUCACCAAGGCUGAGAUCAGUAGCUGGUCUGAGAGGAUGAUCAGCCACACUGGAACUGAAACACGGUCCAGACUCCUACGGGAGGCAGCAGUGGGGAAUCUUGCGCAAUGGACGAAAGUCUGACGCAGCCACGCCGCGUGAGUGAAGAAGGCCUUCGGGUUGUAAAGCUCUGUCGGAGGGGACAAAAACCAUUAUGGUUAAUAGCCAUAGUGCUUGAUGGUACCCUCAAAGGAAGCACCGGCUAACUUCGUGCCAGCCGCCGCAGUAA
This 514-nucleotide ribosomal RNA is filed under the name uncultured bacterium. Its description in RNAcentral is "partial 16S ribosomal RNA". It matches the Rfam family "Bacterial small subunit ribosomal RNA", at positions 29 to 523 of the family's 1533-position model. The record is from RNAcentral.